GGGAAAACUGUUCUAUUUUAUCAACUUCGUGAUGGUUCUUCUCAUCAGGGUACUGUCACAUCAAUGGAACCUAACGAGGGCACUUUUCUGCUUCAUUCUGAAAUAACAAAGAAGGACAAACUGAAGCCUGUUCAUCUUGUUGAUGUCCCUGGGCAUUCUCGGCUUCGAGCCAAACUAGAUGACUUUUUGCCUCUAGCAGCUGGUGUAGUCUUUGUGGUGGAUGCUUUGGAUUUUCUGCCCAACUGUCGUGCAGCCUCAGAGUACCUUUAUGACAUCCUGACUAAUGCGAGUGUUGUGAAG
Molecule: unclassified non-coding RNA, 300 nt
Filed under: Hevea brasiliensis (rubber tree)
Lineage: Eukaryota; Viridiplantae; Streptophyta; Magnoliopsida; Malpighiales; Euphorbiaceae
Source: RNAcentral